This 253-nucleotide ribosomal RNA is filed under the name uncultured bacterium. Its description in RNAcentral is "partial 16S ribosomal RNA". It matches the Rfam family "Bacterial small subunit ribosomal RNA", at positions 524 to 776 of the family's 1533-position model. The record is from RNAcentral.
UACGUAGGGUGCAAGCGUUGUCCGGAAUUAUUGGGCGUAAAGAGCUCGUCGGCGGCUUGUUGCGUCAGCUGUGAAAACCCGCAGCUCAACUGUGGGCUUGCAGCUGAUACGGGCAGGCUUGAGUUCGGUAGGGGAGACUGGAAUUCCUGGUGUAGCGGUGAAAUGCGCAGAUAUCAGGAGGAACACCGGUGGCGAAGGCGGGUCUCUGGGCCGAUACUGACGCUGAGGAGCGAAAGCGUGGGGAGCGAACAGG